Molecule: ribosomal RNA, 1383 nt
Filed under: metagenome
Description: bacterial SSU rRNA
Rfam family: Bacterial small subunit ribosomal RNA
Source: RNAcentral
GUUUGAUCCUGGCCCAGGAUGAACGCUGGCGGCGUGCUUAACACAUGCAAGUCGAACGAGCCUUCGGGCGAGUGGCGGACGGGUGAGUAACGCGUGGGAAUCUGCCCUCAGGAGGGGGAUAACGGCCGGAAACGGCCGCUAAUACCCCAUAUGCCGAGAGGUGAAAUGAAUUUCGCCUGAGGAUGAGCCCGCGUCUGAUUAGCUAGUCGGUGGGGUAAGAGCCCACCAAGGCGACGAUCAGUAGCUGGUCUGAGAGGAUGAUCAGCCACACUGGGACUGAGACACGGCCCAGACUCCUACGGGAGGCAGCAGUGGGGAAUUUUCCGCAAUGGGCGGAAGCCUGACGGAGCAACGCCGCGUGAGGGAUGAAGGCCUCUGGGCUGUAAACCUCUUUUCUCAAGGAAGAAGACAUGACGGUACUUGAGGAAUAAGCCACGGCUAAUUCCGUGCCAGCAGCCGCGGUAAUACGGGAGUGGCAAGCGUUAUCCGGAAUUAUUGGGCGUAAAGCGUCCGCAGGCGGCCUUGUAAGUCUGUCGUUAAAGCGUGGAGCUCAACUCCAUUUAAGCGAUGGAAACUACAAGGCUGGAGUGUGGUAGGGGCAGAGGGAAUUCCCGGUGUAGCGGUGAAAUGCGUAGAUAUCGGGAAGAACACCAGUGGCGAAGGCGCUCUGCUGGGCCAUAACUGACGCUCAUGGACGAAAGCCAGGGGAGCGAAAGGGAUUAGAUACCCCUGUAGUCCUGGCCGUAAACGAUGAACACUAGGUGUCGGGGGAAUCGACCCCCUCUCGUGUCGUAGCCAACGCGUUAAGUGUUCCGCCUGGGGAGUACGCACGCAAGUGUGAAACUCAAAGGAAUUGACGGGGGCCCGCACAAGCGGUGGAGUAUGUGGUUUAAUUCGAUGCAACGCGAAGAACCUUACCAGGGUUUGACAUCCUGCGAAUCCCUUGGAAACGUGGGAGUGCCUUCGGGAGCGCAGAGACAGGUGGUGCAUGGCUGUCGUCAGCUCGUGUCGUGAGAUGUUGGGUUAAGUCCCGCAACGAGCGCAACCCACGUCUUUAGUUGCCAGCAUUCAGUUGGGCACUCUAGAGAGACCGCCGGUGAUAAACCGGAGGAAGGUGUGGAUGACGUCAAGUCAUCAUGCCCCUUACAUCCUGGGCUACACACGUACUACAAUGCUACGGACAAAGGGCAGCAAGCUCGCGAGAGUAAGCAAAUCCCAUAAACCGUGGCUCAGUUCAGAUCGUAGGCUGCAACUCGCCUACGUGAAGGAGGAAUCGCUAGUAAUCGCAGGUCAGCAUACUGCGGUGAAUACGUUCCCGGGCCUUGUACACACCGCCCGUCACACCAUGGAAGUUGGCCAUGCCCGAAGUCGUUACUCCAACCC